AAUCAACGCUAGGCGGCGUGCCUCAGACAUGCAAGUCGAACGAUUAAAGCUCUCUUCGGAGAGUGUAUAGAGUGGCGCACGGGUGAGUAACACGUAAGUAAUCUACCUUCGAGUGGGGAAUAACACCGAGAAAUCGGUGCUAAUACCGCAUAAUGCAGCGGCAUCGCAAGAUGACAGUUGUUAAAGAUUUAUCGCUUGAAGAGGAGCUUGCGGCAGAUUAGCUAGUUGGUAAGGUAAUGGCUUACCAAGGCUACGAUCUGUAACCGGUCUAAGAGGACGGUCGGUCACACUGACACUGAAUAACGGGUCAGACUCCUACGGGAGGCAGCAGUCGGGAAUUUUGGGCAAUGGGCGAAAGCCUGACCCAGCAACGCCGCGUGAAGGAUGAAGUAUUUCGGUAUGUAAACUUCG
This 411-nucleotide ribosomal RNA is filed under the name uncultured bacterium. RNAcentral describes it as "bacterial SSU rRNA". It matches the Rfam family "Bacterial small subunit ribosomal RNA", at positions 32 to 434 of the family's 1533-position model. The record is from RNAcentral.